This 362-nucleotide long non-coding RNA is filed under the name Capsicum annuum. RNAcentral's name for it is "long non-coding RNA (CANN_LNC006873)". The record is from RNAcentral. Lineage: Eukaryota; Viridiplantae; Streptophyta; Magnoliopsida; Solanales; Solanaceae.
ACCUUGUUGACUUGCUGGUUCUUGUUGAAAACUUCAUCAUCUUGUUCUAAAAACAUGAUUCUUAAAGCCUAGUGAAGCCGUGUGUGGCCUAUUUUGAUUCACUAGCACUUGUUGUUCAACUUGUUGUUUUUGGUGUUAGUUUCUUCUUCUUGUUGUUCUUGCUGGAUUCUUGCAUUAUAGACUUGAUAUUGUAUCAGAACUCCUUUUGGAUCCUUCUUGGAUAUCAUUUUACCUGUACCUGCACAUAAGAAGAAUCAAAGCUAGGGAAAAUACCAGCCUUUUGGUUAGGAAGUAUCAAGGCACAUUUGUGGGCAAGUUCCAUAAUCAAAUUUGUUUUUUCCUUUUCAAGCUCACACUUCGAG